Molecule: non-coding RNA, 43 nt
Organism: Amphimedon queenslandica
Lineage: Eukaryota; Metazoa; Porifera; Demospongiae; Haplosclerida; Niphatidae
Source: Rfam
CAACAGGCUCUUUUCAGAGCCAAUUGUUUCCUUAGGAGACCUU